Molecule: ribosomal RNA, 253 nt
Filed under: uncultured bacterium
Lineage: Bacteria
Description: partial 16S ribosomal RNA
Rfam family: Bacterial small subunit ribosomal RNA
Source: RNAcentral
UACGAAGGGGGCGAGCGUUGUUCGGAUUUACUGGGCGUAAAGGGCGCGCAGGCGGCGCAUUUUGUCAGGCGUGAAAGCCCCGGGCUUAACCUGGGAACUGCGUUUGAUACGGAUGGGCUAGAGUUCGGGAGAGGAGAGUGGAAUUCCCAGUGUAGAGGUGAAAUUCGUAGAUAUUGGGAAGAACACCGGUGGCGAAGGCGGCAUCCUGGACCGGCAUUGACGCUGAGGAGCGAAAGCCAGGGGAGCAAACGGG